AUGAGUGGAGGACCAAGUCCAGCAGCAGGCCGGCCGCGUCGAUCGCAUUGGAGCGGGUCGGGUGCGCGAGCUGCGGCGUGCUGGACAUGGACGUCGUGGGUGUGUGGGCGUGGCAUCGUGUGCGAGCUAGAGCGCCAUAUAAACCCACCCCUCCUGUACUCUCUCCUCAACGGGGUUGCCAAACCAUGUAGCCAGUGGGUUCAGCUCGAGUACGUGCUCGAGGGAAAAGAUGUCGUACGCGCGGCGGGUGGAGUUCGGGCUCCAGGAAAAACACCACCAUGUCAUCUUUGUGCUCGGGUUCUUCUCCACUUCCUUCUUCUUCGUUGGUUCGUGCCACGGCAAGUGAGGGCGAGCUAG
RNAcentral lists this ribosomal RNA (357 nucleotides) under Triticum aestivum (bread wheat). RNAcentral's name for it is "partial small subunit ribosomal RNA". Lineage: Eukaryota; Viridiplantae; Streptophyta; Magnoliopsida; Poales; Poaceae. The record is from RNAcentral.